GUGAGGAAUUUUCCGUAAUGGGCGAAAGCCUGACGGAGCAAUGCCGCGUGAAGGAUGAAGGCCUAUGGGUUGUAAACUUCUUUUCUCAGAAAAGAAUUAUGACGGUAUCUGAGGAAUAAGCAUCGGCUAACUCUGUGCCAGCAGCCGCGGUAAGACAGAGGAUGCAAGCGUUAUCCGGAAUGAUUGGGCGUAAAGCGUCUGUAGGUUGUUUAAAAAGUAUUCUGUCAAAGAUUAGGGCUUAACCCUAGAUAGGCAGAAUAAACUUUUAAGCUAGAGUUUGGUAGAGGCAGAGGGAAUGCCCGGUGGAGCGGUGAAAUGCGUAGAUAUCGGGAGGAACACCAAAGGCGAAGGCACUCUGCUGGGCCAAUACUAACACUGAGAGACGAAAGCGAGGGGAGCAAAUGGGAUUAGAUACCCCUGUAGUCC
Molecule: ribosomal RNA, 426 nt
Filed under: uncultured bacterium
Lineage: Bacteria
Description: partial 16S ribosomal RNA
Rfam family: Bacterial small subunit ribosomal RNA
Source: RNAcentral